CGGGGUGCAGCAGGCGCGAAAACUCUACAAUGCAGGCAACUGCGAUAGGGGAACAUCGAGUGAUCCUCAUAUUGGGGGUCUGUCCCACCGUCUAAAAAACGGUGGUUAGCAAGGGCCGGGCAAGACCGGUGCCAGCCGCCGCGGUAAUACCGGCGGCUCGAGUGGUGGCCGAUAUUAUUGAGUCUAAAGGGUCCGUAGCCGGCUUUGCAAGUCUCUCGGGAAAUCCAGCGGCUUAACCGUUGGUCGUCCGGGGGGUACUACAUUGCUUGGGACUGGGAGAGGUAGGAGGUACUCAGGGGGUAGGAGUGAAAUCCUGUAAUCCUCUGGGGACCACCGGUGGCGAAGGCGUCCUACCAGAACAGGUCCGACGGUGAGGGACGAAAGCUAGGGGCACGAACCGGAUUAGAUACCCGGGUAGUCCUAGCCGUAAACGAUGCUCGCUAGGUGUCACAACAGUCGUGAACUGUUGUGGUGCCGUAGGGAAGCCGUGAAGCGAGCCACUUGGGAAGUACGACCGCAAGGUUGAAACUUAAAGGAAUUGGC
Molecule: ribosomal RNA, 543 nt
Filed under: uncultured archaeon
Lineage: Archaea
Description: bacterial SSU rRNA
Rfam family: Archaeal small subunit ribosomal RNA
Source: RNAcentral